GACGAACGCUGGCGGCGUGCUUAACACAUGCAAGUCGAACGGUGAAGCGCCUUCCUUUUUGGUGGGUGUGGAUGAGUGGCGAACGGGUGAGUAACACGUGAGUAACCUGCCCCCUUCUUCUGGAUAACCGCAUGAAAGUGUGGCUAAUACGGGAUAUUCUGGGUCUGUCGCAUGAUGGGUCUGGGAAAGAUAUUGUUUCGGUGGGGGAUGGGCUCGCGGCCUAUCAGCUUGUUGGUGGGGUGAUGGCCUACCAAGGCGGUGACGGGUAGCCGGCCUGAGAGGGUGGACGGUCACACUGGGACUGAGACACGGCCCAGACUCCUACGGGAGGCAGCAGUGGGGAAUAUUGCACAAUGGGCGCAAGCCUGAUGCAGCGACGCCGCGUGAGGGAUGGAGGCCUGCGGGUUGUGAACCCCUUUCGCCAGUGAAGCAGGCCUGCCUCGUUUGUGGGUGGGUUGACGGUAGCUGGAUAAGAAGCGCCGGCUAACUACGUG
Molecule: ribosomal RNA, 494 nt
Filed under: uncultured bacterium
Lineage: Bacteria
Description: partial 16S ribosomal RNA
Rfam family: Bacterial small subunit ribosomal RNA
Source: RNAcentral